This 543-nucleotide ribosomal RNA is filed under the name Deltaproteobacteria bacterium. Its description in RNAcentral is "bacterial SSU rRNA". It matches the Rfam family "Bacterial small subunit ribosomal RNA", at positions 963 to 1533 of the family's 1533-position model. The record is from RNAcentral. Lineage: Bacteria; Pseudomonadati; Myxococcota; Myxococcia.
GUAGAACCUUACCAAGGCUUGACAUCCUGCGAAGGUCGCCGAAAGGUGACCGUGCUUUAUUGAACGCAGUGACAGGUGUUGCAUGGCCGUCGUCAGCUCGUGUCGUGAGAUGUAUGGUUAAGUCCAUUAACGAGCGCAACCCUUUUAGCUAGUUGAAUUUCUCUAGCUAGACUGCCCUGGUAACAGGGAGGAAGGAGGGGAUGACGUCAGGUCCGUAUUACCCUUAUGUCUUGGGCUACAAACACACUACAAUGGCCGGUACAGAGGGCAGCUAAGCCGCGAGGCGGAGCAAAUCCCAUCAAAGCCGGUCCCAGUUCGGAUUGCAGGCUGAAACCCGCCUGCAUGAAGCCGGAAUCGCUAGUAACGGUAAGUCAGCAUAUUACCGUGAAUACGUUCCCGAGACUUGUACACACCGCCCGUCAAACCAUGAAAGUCGCCAAUACCCGAAGUUCCGCCUUAGGCGGACCUAAGGUAGGGGAGAUGAUUGGGGUUAAGUCGUAACAAGGUAUCCGUACCGGAAGGUGCGGAUGGAUUACCUCCUUU